Non-coding RNA from Ixodes scapularis (black-legged tick), 73 nucleotides. NCBI's taxonomy places the organism in Eukaryota, Metazoa, Arthropoda, Arachnida, Ixodida, Ixodidae. The record is from Rfam.
UCCUGGUUAGCUCAGUUGGUAAAGCGCUCCACUGGAAAUGGAGAGCCCCCUGGUUCGAUAACAGGACCAGGCG